UACGGAGGGUGCAAGCGUUAUCCGGAUUCACUGGGUUUAAAGGGUGCGUAGGCGGGCAGGUAAGUCCGUGGUGAAAUCUCUGAGCUUAACUCAGAAACUGCCAUGGAUACUAUUUGUCUUGAAUAUUGUGGAGGUAAGCGGAAUAUGUCAUGUAGCGGUGAAAUGCUUAGAUAUGACAUAGAACACCAAUUGCGAAGGCAGCUCACUACACAAUGAUUGACGCUGAGGCACGAAAGCGUGGGGAUCAAACAGG
This 253-nucleotide ribosomal RNA is filed under the name uncultured bacterium. RNAcentral's name for it is "partial 16S ribosomal RNA". It matches the Rfam family "Bacterial small subunit ribosomal RNA", at positions 524 to 776 of the family's 1533-position model. The record is from RNAcentral.